Plectropomus leopardus (leopard coralgrouper) is the source of this 686-nucleotide non-coding RNA. NCBI's taxonomy places the organism in Eukaryota, Metazoa, Chordata, Actinopteri, Perciformes, Serranidae. The record is from RefSeq and is a predicted model, not a curated record.
CCUCUGAAAGACUUCAUGCUGUGUUUUCACCAAGUAUUUAAUAAGAUUUCAUGUCACAGUGCGUAUGUGUAUUAUUAGUUUCACUGUAUUUGACAUUUUUCUUUUGUUCUGUCCCCCUGACAGAACGCUGAAGAGGGCAUCUAUACGGGCCUGACUCCUCACGCCCAGGACACAUACGAAACCAUCGGCAUGAAGAAGUGACACCAUGAGCCAAAGUCCACACACAGAUAUUUUCCUUUAAAUAAUCUGUUAAUGUAUGUAACAUAGCUAAUCUGCUUAAAUUUUAAGAGAAUGUGAAAUAGCCAGUGCUAAUUUCCUGUUUGCUUUUGUAGCUUGUUUUGGGGGAAGUUAAGAAAGUCCAAAACAGAGAAGUUGAGCUCAAAGAUGAGCAGCUUCACAAAUGCUCACUCCUGAUGUUCUAAGUUAUUUUUGUAAAGUAAAAAAAAAAAAGAAAAAAGUUAUACACUGUACACUGUCCAGCUAGCUGCCUCUUUUUUCAAAGUUGUCUUUUUAUAAAACUGCAAAAGAAAGGUUUUUUGCAAAAUUAAAGAUGGUGCAUAUAGAUAAAGCUAUGUGUAAUCCUCAGAGACACCAAGCAGUGUUUCCUGCGCGCCACAGGAUGGCAGUGACAGUGUGUCAAAACACAGACACACGUCUCUCCCAGCAGAGAGAGCCACCCCCCCCCC